Long non-coding RNA from Thalassophryne amazonica, 2047 nucleotides. RefSeq lists it as uncharacterized. NCBI's taxonomy places the organism in Eukaryota, Metazoa, Chordata, Actinopteri, Batrachoidiformes, Batrachoididae. The transcript is spliced from 2 exons. The record is from RefSeq and is a predicted model, not a curated record.
UAAACAUUUGUACAUUUAUUUCCACUGAGGGCCAAAAACACAAAACAGGCAAUUCUACAGUAACAGAAUUACAACAGCGCCAAAAUCUACCCGUGUUUUAGCUUAGCGUUAAAAUUUGCCCCAACUGUAAUUCUGUUACUGUAGAACUAAUCAAACAGGAUUAAAACCUGUGUCAUACUUCUAAUGUGCAUUUUUUUUGUGGUUUGUUUUGACAUUAUCCACAGGCGUCACACAACACAUUGCCUCAAUGCACAGAACAUCGAAGAAGAAGCCAAAACAGUCUCCACCAGGUGUCGCCAUUUUUAGCUGGCUGGCAUGAACAGAGGAGAGCGAGUCGAAAUUAGCGGACAGAGGCAUCAAAGGGAUAACGUGAAUCCUUUGUACUCUUUGCUGGCACAAAGUGCUAAAGGUUGGUGGAACAGCAGCUAACUGCAAGGUAAUCUGAUCUACUUGUAGCAUAAGGAUCAACUGUAACAACAGCAAAUUGUCAUUUUUCUGAAAUCCUGAAACAUGACAAAGAUUAUAUGUCCACAAUCUUCAGUAAAUAUCUGACUGCAAAGGUUAGUCACACCUUUUAAAGUUUUUUUUCUCGCUUUCUGUAAACGUUCCAAAAACAAAAAAGUCAUAAGGUGAAGAAACCGGUUUUCAAGAAAUGAACAUGUGAACUGCAUCAUGUGUAGCCUGUGAGCAUUUACAGUAUUUCAUGCAAAUAUUACCCAAAAUUAACAAUGUAUCCAUGAGGCACAAUACCUCACCUGAACUGCAGGCAGAGUACAAUGAACACACAAUGUCAGAACAACUGCAAUUCAUCUCAGACUUAACAACAUGGCAUCAAAGUUCUUCAGGCACCAACUUGCAACGAUUCAGCCCUGGUCUGUCACCCCCCGUGGAUAAACUUACAAAUGCUACACAAGUAAGUAUGCAAAGAUGCAUUAUGCUAACAUCACUCAUUUAAAGUAUUAGGUGAGUUUGAAAUGUAGCUAUUGACAAAAUCAAUCAUAAACUGAUCUUGGAUAUUGACAUUGCCCUCGCGAGCUGUUGGCAUGUUGCCUGCAUACACUGUAGUUUUUAAAAGCUUAGUAAUCUCCACACCAGCUUUGCUAAACGUGAUAACUUCAACAUUGUAAAUUAAUUCUUGUUGUUGGUGCCUCUGAAGUUUCUUCAAGUGCAAUGGAAAAUGUUAAAAUUAAUGGCAACGUGACUGCAUUCGUGCAGAUGUGAGCAAUGAACAAAGUUGGACAAAAAAAAAAUGUGUUUUUGACACUCAUACAGCAUUCAACUACAUAAUGUUUGUGGGGAAGUUACACCAUUUUCUCAAAGGUAGUGCAGUGGAAUCACUUCAGGAUCAGGACUGUCAGAAUUAAUCAUAUGUAUAAAAGGCAUGGAAGUUGCAAAUUUAUUAGCAGAUUAUUAGCGUUAGCCACAACGUGACAUUAUGUCGGUUAAUAUUACGUAGUGUAUUAGUCAUCUCUAGUCACAGUUAAAAAUCAAUCUGCCAAUAAAGUUUUACAUUUGCUGUUCUUGCUCUGCACGCUCCUAAGAUGUGGCGUAUAUUCGUCGUUCUCAGACAACACAUUCGCCAAGGGUGGGUGAGAUACCUCAGUCCACAUACGGCGAGAAGCCAGAACUUCAAACUUUGGCGGACACAGCUUCAUGUGACAGAUUUAAUGCUCAUUAGGACCAUAGGCUCUUUCCAAAUGAACUGUGCACAGUGAGGGGGCGGGGCUGAACAACAGGUAUGCCUAGGGGUGAUCAAAAACAAACAGAAGUUCACAAUCAGACAGCCGCCCACACCAAAAGUUAAAAAAAAAAAAACCUCAAUACUUUUUUUCAAAUCCUACAUCCAGCACAAUAGCAACAUUAACCAGAUCAAUAUAUAUUUUUAUAGCAUUUUAAGGUACCUCAUAUAUUUUCCUCAAUAUUUACAACUGUACAAGCAAAGCACACACUUCAAAGUGCACAGAUUCAAUACAGUAUUGACUAGUUUUGCAUUUACAAAGUUCAUUUUCCCCUAAACAAUCUGAAACUAUUAAACAAAAGAUCAAAA